This 22542-nucleotide long non-coding RNA is filed under the name Olea europaea subsp. europaea. The record is from RNAcentral. Lineage: Eukaryota; Viridiplantae; Streptophyta; Magnoliopsida; Lamiales; Oleaceae.
GAAAGAAAAGAAAAAGAAGGAAAAGAGGUAGGUUUUGCAAUUCAAACUUCACUCUUCAAUUUCUCGAAUUUCUCCAAGAGAUAUAGUAUAAUUUAUGCCUAAUUUUUAGAGUUUUGAUUUGUAAAUUUCAAAUUUAAGAUAUAUGAGUACAAAUUGAAGCUCUAGUUUCUUGAUUCUUUAAUUUCCAUUUACAUUAAGGUAAGAAAUAUUAUUUUCGGACCAACCCUAGAUUUUAAAUUGGAUGCUUGAGUAAGGAUUAAUUAUGAAAAUGAUUAUGUUGAUGGAAUUUUUCACUUGUAAGAAUGAUUUUAUGGAACAAGAUGUAUAUUAAAUUGGGGCAAGAGUGAUUCCAAGUUUUUACCAUAUGGAAGAUGGGAUAAUUAUUUUUAUACUUUGGAUGAAGGUUAUUUUGAAGAAUUAGUUAUUUAGUUAAGGGACUUGAAAGUGGAACUAGCACAAAUUAAUUAAAGGAAUAUUUGGGAAAUUUAUUCAAAAAUCGAGAAAUUUAGUUUAGGUAUUAUAUGAUUAGAGAUAAAAGAAUUCUUGUUUUGAUAGUGAUUAAAUCGGUUAUCUUGUAUCGUAUUUCAGAUGAUGACAAAAAGAUUAAAAAACCUUAUCGACCAUCAUAGUCAAUUGCUUGCCUUGGGUGAGUGGAUAAAAACUUAUCUUUUAGAAAUUAGCAUUUAUUAAAUUUAUAUUAUAUCAAAAUAUUUAUUAUUUCAUGUAGUUAAUUUGAUAGCAUGAAUUUCAUAAUAAAGUUGAUUUAUAAUCAAUUAUUUUUAAAGUUAAAUUCAAUCCAGUAAAAUCAUUUGAUUAGGAUAUUACAUGAAUAUUAAAUAUUUCAGCAUAUUUUAAGUUAUUUUCUUUAAAACCACCAUAAAGUACUUAGGUAAUUUUACACAAGUUUGCACUAGUGUGAAUGUGUUUCCACGAUGUAUGACUCCAUAUGAUUAUUUUACCAACUCUGCAUUGGUAUGAAUGUAUUUUCGCAGUCUAUGAUCAGUUAUGGUGAUUUUACCUGCUCUAUACUAUUAUGAAUGUAUUUUCAUAGUGUAUGACCAAAUUAUAACCUUUGGGCAGCUUUGUGUGCACAUGAUCAAAAUUUCAAAAUUAAUGAAUUAUAGAAUUUCGAAAUUUUAGAAUUGCAAAAUUUCAUAAUUAAAUAGCUUUGCCAUAUAUAUCGGUACUAACUGAUAAAUGAAUAAGGUUAUUCGGGGUACCCUUUUUUGGUGCGAUCUUUUAGUAUUAUACAGUUUAUCAGAUUUUAGAAUAUAGAAUUUAGUUUAUUCGAUUCACAAAGUAAUGAUUUCAUCUUAUAGUAUUGUGAAAGGAUAUUUUCACUCAUAUCUAUUGAUAUAUGAUUAUUUAAGUUCAUUAUACGUUACAGUUACUUAUCUAGAAUAAAGAAAAGAGAAUUGUACGAUGAAAUCAUGUUUCAGUUUUAAAAAGUGUGAUUAGAUUUCAAAAUUUCUCAAAGUUUUAAUAGAGUAAGAAUUUUUAGAAAAUAUGCAUAAACGGAAAAGUAUACUUAUUUGUAAACUAUUCACUCACUGAGCUACAAGCUCAUAUAUUUUAUCACCAUUUUUCUUAUUAGAUAGUAGUUGAGUUGAACAACAUUGGAGUCUGUUGAUCUACCGAGUUGAGCCUUACAUUGUCAUCAAAUGUAUGACUCAUUUUGUCAGUUUACACAGUUCAUAUUUUUAUGAUACAAGCAUUUUUGUCAAAAAAUAUGACCAUAUCAUGGGUUCAUUGCAUAAUUGUUAUCUUUUGAUUAUGUUGGGCUUUUAGAGUCUUUUGACUUGUUCAAAAGCAUAAAUUUCAUUUUUGUGCACUUUACUUUGAAUAGUUGGUAUUCUGAGGACUGGUGUACCUUGUUUUAUAUUAUAUAUACAGUUUGAGAAAAUUGAUUAUUAUUUAGGUGAUUUUAAUCCAUAUUUCAAAAGGAACUCUGUCAAAGUGCUUUUAAAAAUACAUCACAGUUAAAGCAGGUUAAGAUUGCCUUGGUGUUGGAUCCAGCACUUAGCUGAUAUUUACUAUCGACGCAUGACACGUGUUUGGUCCAUUAGGUUGAUUUGGGACAGGUCAUGUCAUUGGUAUCAGAGCAUAGUCAUAGAGUCAACUUGAUUGCAUUUAUUUUGAUUUUGUUCUGAACAUAUCAUACAUACUUUGUGGUUAAAGGUCAUGGCUCGUGGUGGUAAGAUUCGUAGUCUCUAGGAUGUGUCGCCUCAACCACAAGUUGCUCCUCAUAGAAAUGUCAGUAAGGUUGAGGAAUCAGUUCAGCAAACUCAUGAGUAGCUAGGACGUGUUGAUGUAGCUUAGCCUGAGUUUAUAGCUGAUAGGAUUGCUACAACUGUUGCUUCUGCUUGGCCUAGUUCUGAUAAAGAAUAUAGCAUAGAACGAGGAACUAAAUUAGGAGCUAAAGUGUUCACUAGUAAAGCUUGAUAAGUGUCUAAAAGUGAUUCAAAAAUAUAUCAUUUACAAGGUAUUUUACAUCCACUUUGUUUAAAAACAUUAAUGUUAGUAUCUAAUUUCAAUUCUUUUGCCGUAAAUUCAAUUUCCAUAAAUAUAUGGUUAAAAGUACAAUUAAUCAAAAUACGUAUUUAAUUACAUGUCGGAUGAGUAUUAUACUUUUGAAAGAGUAUUUAUCUGAUGUAUUUCACCUGUAUUUCUAAGGUAGAACAAGUGGAGCAAGUUGAGAAAAAAAUAUUGAAAAGUCAAGAAUAUUAGCUGUCGUGAGUAAAGAUGCAGUUGUCUCAGUAAAAUGACCAUAACUCGAGCUGUAGCUAUUAAAACACGGUGAUUCAAGUUGGAUUGGAAAUAUAAGAUAUAUCUAUAAUUUUAAUGUUUAUCGUGCAAAAACCAGCUUGUUACCUGCCGGAUACAGCUUUUCUACCUGUAAAGUAGUACUCAUUCUUUUGGCCAUAUCUAGAGUUAUAGAGAUCCAAUGGACCUGAUAUUUGCAUCAAUAGAAAGCUAACUCAAGUGGUAACAAUUUAUCUGUUGGUCAUAAGUCCAAAUUCCUGGAAAAAGGUAUCUGAAAAUUGACAUUAAGUUGUGUGUUCCAGCUGUCUUGAAGCUGGACAGAAACAAGUUGCAUUGUCCACUUGCAUUUUGGAUGUUCCUUUGCCUAUAAAAGGGGACCUUGGCCAAGAUUUGGAGAGCAUCAAUUCCUCUUCAUCAUAUUCUAGUUUUCUUCAUUUUCUUUGUAAAAUUUUAUUAUGUAUUUCUAAACCAUUAGCUAGAGAUAGAGGUGAAACUUUGGUGAAUGUGUAGUAUUGUCCUUGAUCUUUCACUUUGUUCUUCAAUGUUCAUUUUCUUACUUGGUUGAAGUAUAUGUUCUACAAAUGGUUUUGGUUUGUUAAAGACUUUGAUUUAUUGUUGACAAAUUUUGGCACAAUAAAUGCUUAGAUAAUCUCUACAUGCCAACAACUUAUUUUGACAUAUUCUCUUAAACAAUUUUCAAUAUUUAUCUUUUAGUAUAUUUGUGAUCAAUGUUUUAUCUUCCAUAUAAGAUCACUCCUUAGUUGAUUUCCAUAUGAGUUAAAUAAAAGAUCAAGAGCAAUUUCAACCCAUUUAUCCGAAGUAAAUCUCCAACGCUCUAGUGUUCGUCUCCAUCGUAUUUCCUCAUAGACUAGUUUAUUUCCUUCCAAUUCCCUAUGGUUUUACCUCGGACUUCCGAGUUUACUAUUUGCGACAACCCGUACCUAGGUUUGCAACCUUAAAGUUGUAGCAAGUUUUUGGCGUCGUUGCCGAGGAUUUGUGUCAAAAAUUAUUUUCUACUACUUUCUGUGAGGUUUUCUUCUCUUUUAUAAUAUUUAUAAAUCAGGUACAUUCGUUCCUUUUUCGAUCUUAUUACUUUAGUGAUUUUACUUUAAAGGAAGGCCGAGCCUCCUUCGUUUUUUAUUUUCUAUUUAUUUUCUUUCUUUAAAGGGAUGGCCGAACCUCCCGAUUUGCCUUUUCUUUAUUAUAUGGUUGGCUGUGCCACCUAAUUUUUGUUCUUUACAUUAUUAUAUGGUUGGCCGUGCUACCUAAUUUUCGUUCUUUACAUCUAUUUUAUGUCAUAUUGGUAUCGUGAAUUUAAUUCUCAUCGUUUAGUUAAAGAUAAUUGUGAAACUUUCUUUAAUAAUUUAUUUGACUCACCUCAACAUUCACUCACAUUUUCCAUCAUGGUUGAUAAUGAAAGCAUACAUGAUGAAAAUGAAAAAACCAACAAGCACGAACCAUGAGUGAUUACUUGCAACCUCCUCAAAAUUUUGCUCCUUCAUGUUUCAUUUUCCUUUUUAAUGCUAACAAUUUUCGAUUCAAGCCGGGUAUGAUUCCACUACUUCCUAAUUUUCAUGGCUUAGAAUCCAAAAGUCCAUAUUUGCAUCUUAAAGAAUUUGAGGAAGUAUGUGCCACAUUUAACAAUCAAACUUGCCCCAAUGAAAUUGUAAAGUUGAAAUUGUUUCCUUUUUCUCUAAAAGAUAAAGCAAAAACUUGGCUUAACUCUUGAAAACCUAGGUCGAUUGGCACAUGGUAAGAAAUGUAAAGUGAGUUUUUGAAGAAAUUCUUUCCAGCACAUAAAACUAAUGCUUUGAAAAGACAAAUCCAAAAUUUUGUCUCAAAAAACCAAUAAAGCAUACUUUCAAUGUUUAGAAAGAUUUAAAGAUUUGUUAAAUACUUGCCCACAUCAUGGUUUUGAAAAAUGGCAUACCAUAAGUUUCUUUUAUGAGGGCUUAACUCCUGAAACAAAACAAUUUGUAGAAACGAUGUGCAAUGGUGAAUUUUUAGAUAAAGAUCCAGAUGGAGCUUUAUAAUUUCUAGAUCAUCUAGCUAAAAAUUCUCAAUCUUGACAAACAGUAAAACCAAUCAAAAACUCAAUCAGAUCUAGUCUUGCUAGUUCUAGUGGAGGAAAAUAUCAAUUCAAUCAAGAUGAUGAUCUAAAUGUUAGGAUUGCUAGUUUGUCUAGAAAGGUUAAAGCUAUGGAAUUAAGGAAAGUAAAGGAAGUUAAAUCGAAGCAAAAUGAUGAAAUUUGUAGCAUUUGUGAAACUUUUGGUCAUCUAACGCAUGAUUGUCCUAACAUCCCAGUUUUCAAAGAACUUUUACAUGAUCAAGCCAAUGCUAUGAGCACUUUCAAAAAGCCUUUUCCUUCCCCAUACUCAGAAACAUAUAAUCAACAAUGGAGAAAUCAUCCCAACUUUAGUUGGAGAGAUGAUAAUCGUGUUCAUAUAUCACAACCUCAAGGGCUUUCAAAAUUUCCUUCUUUUCCACCACCACAAUCAAAGACUCUUGAGGAAACAUUGCAGUCUUUUAUGUAAGGACAAGCAAACAUUAAUAAUCGAACUUCACAAGCCAUCAAUGAAAUCAAGAACACACUUUCUUCAUUGACCUCUUCUUUACAUUCUCAAGAGAAAGGCAAAUUUCCUUCUCAACCUCAAUCAAAUCCUUCUGGGCAAUUUAAUGUAAAUGCUUCUCGUUCCUUUGAAAGUCAACAAGAAAAUGCCAACUCCAUCACAACUCUUCGUAGUGGAAAAAUUAUUGACAAAACAUUCCUUCAAAAGAAAUAAAAUCGGGUGGGACUUCAAAGCAAGAAAAUGAUGUUUCCAAAACUGAGGAAAAAAUCAUUUCUGAACCUAUAGUUGAAAAAUGUCCCAUUCCAGCUCCAUUUCCUCAAAAAUUGCAACAAAUUUCAAAACUCAACCAUAAUUCUAAAUUUUUUGAACUUUUCAAACAAGUCAAUAUUAACAUACCAUUAUUGGAUGCAAUCAAACAAGUUCCUUCAUAUGCAAAAUUUUUAAAAGACUUGUGCACUGUCAAGAGGAAACUUAAUGUUCAACAAAAAGCAUCUUUAACAGAUAACGUGAGCUCAAUCAUUCAACAAAACACUCCACCUAAAUUCAAAGAUCCUGGUUGUCCAACAAUUUCUUGUGUGAUUGGAAAUAAUAGGAUAGAGCAUGCUUUACUUGAUCUUGGUGCUAGUGUUAAUCUAUUAUCUUUUUCUAUAUAUGAGCAACUUGGUUUGGAGAACGUAAGCCAACAACAACAAUACUUCAACUUGCUGAUCGUUCAGUAAAAGUUCCAAGAGCGGUUGUAAAGGAUGUUCUAGUUCAAAUUGAUAAAUUCUAUUAUCCUGUUGACUUUAUAGUUUUGGACACACAUCAUGUUUUAAAUUCAAAUACACAAAUACCUGUCAUUUUAGGAUGUCCCUUUCUUGCUACUUCAAAUGCGUUGAUAAAUUGUAGAAAUGGUAUCUUGAGACUCUCUUUUGGAAAUAUGACUGUGGAAAUGAAUGUUUUUAAUAUUUGCAAGCAACAUGGAGAUAAAGAUGAUUUGCAUGAAGUAGAUUUUAUUGAACAAUUUGUUGAUGAUCAGUUUAUUGCUACAUAUUCAUCUGAUGUGCUAGAAUUUGAAUUUAAAGAUAAUUCUAAAAAUUCGCAUAUAAUUUCUUUGUUGAAUUCUUUUCAAGAGAAAAAGACAAGUGAUUGGAAAUCAAAGUUUGAAAAAUUAUCACAACAGUCUAAUAUGUCCAUGAUUUCAAAUGUUCAAAUGCCAAAUCUCGAUUUAAAGCAAUUACCAUCUAAUCUGAAAUACUCAUUUUUGGGUGAAGAUGAAACUUUUCCAGUAAUAAUUUCAUCCCAACUUGAUGCGCACCAAGAAGGUAAGUUGUUACAAACUUUAAAAAUGCAUAAAAAUGUUUUAGGAUAGACCAUAGCUGAUAUAAAGGGGAUUAGUCCUUUGAUUUGCACACAUAAGAUUUAUUUGGAGGAAUAUGCUAAACCUACAAGAGAAAUGCAACGAAAGCUUAAUCCUGUUUUAAAAGAGGUGGUAAGAAAUGAAGUCAUUAAAGUCUUAGAUAAUGAAAUCAUUUAUCCUAUUUUUGAUAGUAGAUGGGUAAGUCCAACCCAAGUUGUACCAAAAAAAUCUAGUGUUACUGUAGUCCAAAAUGAAGAAAAUGAGUUAAUUCCAACUAGAACUAUUACUGGUUGGCGCAUGUGUAUCAACUAUAGGAAACUCAACUCAAUGACUAGGAAAGAUCAUUUUCCUUUACCUUUUAUGGAUCAAAUGUUAGAAAGAGUGGCAGGACAUGAAUUUUAUUAUUUUCUAGAUGGAUAUUCUGGGUAUAACCAAAUUGAAAUUGCACAUGAGGACCAAGAAAAGACCAUUUUUAUAUGUCUCUUUGGUACUUUUGCUUAUCGUAGAAUGCCUUUUGGAAUAUGUGAUAUUUUACUAUUUUUGGAGAUUCAUUUGAUGAUUGUUUUACUAACUUGCAAAAAGUUUUAGUUAGGUGUGAAGAAAAGAAUCUUGUGCUCAAUUAGGAAAAAUGUCAUUUUAUGGACACUAAUGGCAUCGUACUUGGUCAUAUUGUAUCAUCUAAUGGAAUUGAGGUAGACAAGUCUAAAAUUGAAUUGAUUUCUAAUUUACCUUCUCCAAAUAGUGUUAAAGAGGUAAGAUCUUUUUUAGGACAUGCUGGUUUUAAUAGAAGGUUUAUCAAAGACUUUAGUGUCAUAUCUAAACCAUUGUGUAAUCUCUUAUCUAAAGACAUGCCUUUUGAAUGGACUAAGUCUUGUCAAGAAGCUUUUGUUAAACUUAAGAACAUGCUUACUUAUGCUCCUAUCAUGCAACCUCCAGAUUGGAAUUUACCUUUUGAAAUCAUGUGUGACGCUAGUGAUUAUGUUGUUGGAGCUGUCUUAGGCCAAAGAAAAGAUAAAAAAACCUCAUGUCAUUUACUAUGCAAGUAAAACUCUAAAUAGUGCUCAAAUGAAUUAUUCUACCACUGAAAAAGAAUUGCUUGCUAUAGUGUUUGCUUUGGACAAAUUUCGAUCAUAUCUUGUUGGCUGACCAUUUGUUAUUUUUAGUGAUCAUGCAGCUUUAAAAUAUCUUCUCUCUAGAAAGAUGCUAAACCCAGGUUGAUUAGGUGGAUUCUUUUACUCCAAGAAUUUGACAUCACCAUUUGAGAAAAUAAAGGAGUAGAGAAUGUUGUAGCUGAUCACUUGUCUAGGCUUACUUGUGAUGAAUCAUUUGAAACAACAUCAAUCAAGGAUACUUUUCCUGAUGAACAACUUUUUAGUGUUUCUAACUUGCUUUGGUUUGCUGAUAUUGCUAAUUUUCUUGUGACAGGUCAAAUACCAUCUCAUUGGAAUGCGCAAGACAAAAAGAAAUUCUUCUAGGACGUAAGAAAUUUUUUUUGGGAUGAUCCUCACCUGUUCAAAUAUUGUCCAGACCAAAUAAUAAGAAGAUGUGUGCCAAAUAAUGAAAUCCAAAAGAUAAUUGCCUUUUGCCAUUCUGAAGCAUGUGGUGGUCACUUUUCUUCAAAUAAAACUGCUGCAAAAAUCUUGCAAUCUGAAUUUUAUUGGCCAACUCUUUUCAAAGAUGCAUAUGAAUUUUUUAAAGCUUGUGAACGUUGUCAAAAAUUUGGUGGGAUUACUUGUAGAAAUAUGAUGCCACUGACACCCAUACAAUUUAUUGAAAUAUUUGAUUGUCGGGGUAUUGAUUUCAAGGGUCCAUUCCCAUCAUCUUUUGGUUAUUUAUACAUCCUGGUAGGAGUUGAUUGUAUUUCUAAAUGGAUAGAGGCAAUUCUUUGUAAAUACAAUGAUCACAAAACUGUUUUGAAAUUUUUGAAAGAAAAUAUUUUGUCAAGAUUUGGAAUACCUCAAGCCAUUAUAAGCGAUGGGGGUUUGGACUUCUAUAAUAAACCUUUUAAGGCCCUAAUGAAAAAAUAUGGGAUUACUCAUAAAGUAUCUACUCCUUAUCACCUAAACACUAGUGGUCAUGCUGAACUUGCAAAUAGACAGAUUAAAUUCAUUUUGGAAAAAGCAGUGAAUCCAAACAGAAAAGAUUGGUCUUUACGAUUAACUGAUGCACUUUGGGCUUAUUGUACAGCUUUCAAAACACCGCUUGAUAUGUCACCUUAUCGAAUUGUUUUUGGAAAGCCUUAUCAUUUACCUAUUGAAUUGGAACAUAAAGCAUUUUGGGCUAUUAAAAUGUUUAAUUUCAGCUUAGAUGAGGUAGGUUCACUUAAGAAACUUUAGCUAAAUGAGUUAAAAGAAAUCACGAAUGAAGCUUAUGAAAACUCUCGAAUUUACAAGAAAAGAACGAAGGUAUUCCGUGAUUAAAACAAUGUUAGAAAAACUUUUGAGCCUUCCCAAAAAGUUCUUUUGUACAACUCAAGGUUACAUUUAUUUCUUGAAAAAUUACGCUCCAAGUGGACUGGUCCUCUCAUUGUCAAAACUGUUUACCCACAUGGAGCUGUAGAAAUUGAAAAUCCAAGUAAUGAAAAUAUUUUUAAUGUUAAUGAACAUCAUUUGAAACCAUUUUUUGAGAAUUUCUCUAGAUUAGAAGAGUCCAUUGCUUUACAUGAUCCUAAAGAUUGAUAUCCUUUUCUCAUUAUUUUAUUUUGUAUGUUUCUUUUCAGUUUUAUAAUGUUGUGUGUUUGUUUUAGAUGUGUUUCUUUUAUUGUCAUUUUUUCUUCUCUAAUGAAAUUGAAGGUUCAUUUUGGCCAAGUUUAUGCAGACUCUCCAAGUAAAACUCAAAACCUAUCCCUUUGUUCAAAAUUUUGCUCCUUACUGUGCUUCAUACAUUUUGCACAUUUAAUCUUUACAUUGAGGAUAAUAUUUCAUUUAGGUUGGGAGGAAGGAAUAAAAAAAAAAUUGUUCUUACCAACCGAUGAUGACAUUAUUUGAAAUUGUAUGUAUAUUAUGAAUUGUGACUAAGGGAUGCUACUUUGAUUUAGUUGAAGCUUGUUCAUGUUAGAUUGAUUUACAUUGAGCACAAUGAUCAUGAAAAUCACAUAUUAUUUAGAUUGGAUCAAUUGAUAGAAUAUAUAGAAUUAACUAUGACCAAAAUUUAAUAAAUAAAUAAACUCCUACUAAACCAAUUUUAGGAUAGUUUGGGGUGGUUGAGCUGUUGUAGGGAGACAUUGAUAUAGAUGUGGAUUACAUGUGUGUUAAAUUUUUUGUGGAUUGCUUAAGACCAAUGAGAAGGUAAUUAGGUAAAAAUCUUACGUUAAAGAUCAAUUUUCGAGAAUAAGUGUUUAAUGAGGGGCAUUGCACUAAUUAUUGCAUAGAGGGGAAAAAAGUUGUCAUGUUGUGAAGCUAUCCUAAAAGAGCCUAAAGAGGGCAAUUUUAUAUAUUAAAAGAGAUCAGACUAGUGCAUGAAACAAAAAUACGCACGGCAAAAUUUGAAAAAAGUAGGUGCAUAAAACAGAAGAUGCACUAUAUGCUUUGAUUAAAUCUCAAACACUUAUUUUAGAGAAUUAGACGUUUGAUAAGAGAUUAGUAGCUUAGUUGAUUCUUGGAGAUUGAAUCAGUCAAAAUUAAGGAGAAUCCUCAUUUAUUGAUGUGUCGAGCUACAAUUAGUAAAAUCUAACAAAUCUAGAGAGGGUGAGAAAUAGUAUAUAAAUUUAACCAUAAAUCACACCUGGGAAAAAUAGUUACAAAAUCAAGUUUGAGGGUGUGCAUCCCAUGAGAGAAGAGAGAAAUAAUUGACCAUUCAGGGUUGGGAUGAGUCCAAUUUGAAAAGGUAUGUGAUUGAAUUGAAUAUGCACAUACACACGUUGGUCGAGCAUUGGACAAGUUAGACUACGUUUUGGUAGCAAACCUUAGAAGCAGUUUCAAAUCCUAAGGCAAAUGCGACAAGUUAUUUCAUUUGAACUAUUUCUGAAUUUUUUAUUGCUAGAGACUAGCAAUAUCUUGGUUGGGGAGUGUGAUUAGUGUCUAAAAGUGUUUUAAAGAUAUAUCAUUUACAAGACAUUUUACAUUCACUUUCUUUAAAAACACUAAUGUUAGUCUCCAAUUUCAAUUCUCUUGGCGUAAAUUCAAUUUCCAUAAAUAUAUGGUUAAAAGUGCAAUAAAUCGAAAUACGUAUUUAAAUACAUGUCAGCAUGAGUAUUAUACUUUUGAAAGAGUAUUUAUUUGAUGUAUUUCUAUGAUAGAACAAGUGGAGUAAGUGGAGAAAAAAAUGUUGAAAAGUCAAGAAUAUUAGUUGUCAUGAGUAAAGAUGCAGCUGUCUCGGUAAAAUGGCCAUAACUCGAGUUGUAGUUAUUGAAAAACGGUGAUUCAAGUUGGAUUGGAAAGAUAAGAUAUAUAUCUACAACUUUCAUGUUUACCUAGAAGUCAAAUUCGCAUCAUAAGACAGCCAAAAUUACCGUGCAAAGUCUACCUUGUUACCUACUGGAUACAGCUUUUCUACCUGUAAAGCAGCACUCAUUCUUUUGGCCAUAUCUGGAGUUGUAGAGAUCCAAUGGACCUGAUAUUUGCACCAAUAGCUAAGUUAAAUGGUAACAAUUUAUCUGUUGAUUAUAAGUCCAAAUUCAUGGUACAAAGUAUCUGAAAAUUGACAUCAAGUUGCAUGUUCCAGCUGUCUUGAAGUUGGACAGAAACAAGUUGUAUUGUCCACUUGCAUUUUGGAUGUUCCUUUACCUAUAAAAGGGGACCUUCGCCAAGAUUUGGAGAGCAUCAAUUCUUCUUCAUCAUAUUCUAGUUUCAUUCAUUUUCUUUGUAAAAGUUCAUUAUAUAUUUCUAAACCAUUAGCUAGAGCUAGGGGUGAAACUUUAGUGAAUGUGUAGUAUUGUCGUUGAUCUUUCACUUUGUUCUUCAAUGUUCAUCUUCUUACUUGUUUGAAGUAUAUGUUCUACAAAUGAUUUUGGUUUGUUAAAGACUUUGAUUUAUUGUUGACAAAUUUUGGCACAAUAAAUGCUUAGAUAAUCUCUACAUACCAACAACUUAUUUUGACAUAUUCUCUUAAACAAUUUUCAAGAUCUAUCUUUUAGUAUAUUUGCAAUCAAUAUUUUAUCUUCCAUAUGAGAUCACUCCUUAGUUGAUUUCCAUAUGAGUUAAAUAAAAGAUCAAGAGCAAUUUCUGCCCAUUUAUCCAAAGUGAAUCCCCAACACUCUAGUAUUCGUCUCCAUUGUAUUUCCACCAACCAUUCACUACGCAUAGACUAGUUUAUUUCCUUCCAAUUCCCUGUGGUUUGACCUCGGACUUCUAAUUUUACUACUUGCGACAACCUGCACUUGGGUUUACAACCUUAAAGUUGUAGCACAGCUAAUCAAACAGAAAUCGAAUCUUGGUUGAUAAAGAUUGAAAGAGUAUUUGAUGUUAUGGAUUGUCUUAAUGAUUGAAAUUAUGUCUAGUUAUCUUCUUGUUAGAAUGAGAUGCAUAUGAUUAUUCAGAGUAAAUAUCGUGAUCCUUCAAUCAAGUGGGGGUGAUUGUAAAGAUGAUUUUAAUGAGUAAUAUUGUCCUCAUUCUUAUAAGAAUGAUAAAUAGAAUGAAUUUUUUAAACUAGUACAGACAUCUUCAGUGGUGGAAUAUCAGAAAAAGUUUGUAAUUUUCAAAGAUACCGUAGUCUUUGUAGCUAAUGAAGCUAAUAAGUGCAGAAGGUUUGAACAGGGUCUAGGGGAAGAAAUCAGAUCAAUGAUGACUACAACAAGAUAUAAAAAUAUUUAUAAACUUGUGGAAGCAGAAUUGAAGGUUGAAAAAAAAAAGUCUUUCAGAACGACGUAGCAAUAAAUAACAAAUGAAGCCUGAAGGGAAAAAGUAUAUAUGAACAGAUCACUGAGGAGGGAUCGCAGAAAAGUGGAUUAGGUGUUUCCACUUCUAGUAGUUUCAAUCUAGAUCUAGCAAAAAUCAGGGCUCAAGGUCGAGCCAGAGGAGUACAGCAGUUAGGGUGUAGCCGUACUCAGACCCAGGAAUCUUCUAAGAGAUCAUUUACUCCUAGAUAGGGUGAUUGCUCUAGAGUUUCUAGAUUUCCUCAAUGUCAGUCGUGUGGGAAAUUUCAUCCUGGUGAGUGCCUCUAGGCUUGAUCUAUGAUUAUAAGUUAUGUUAGAGUUCAGAAAGUGUUCUGAAGUAAAAUGAUAAAUUAUAGAAGAAUAUUUUUAGCAAAUAUAGAAAUGAAUGGUAUAUAAGUACAUUAGUUGCAAUGAUCCGAUGAUGAAAAUUGUUAUUGGUUGUGGAGUGGGAAUGGUAUUGUAUGUAAACAGUUAAGAGUUGAACAUAUUAUCAGUUUGAAGUGAUAAUUUUGAUGGUUUUGCAGGUUGUUUACCCAUAGGUAUUCGAAGUGAUAGAAGGUACAACCACUAAGUACCAAUUUAUUUAUGGAAUUACAUGAUUUUUUUAAUGUAAACAAACGAAAAUCUUUAGUUAUAGCUAGCAUGAUAAAUACGGGAAAAUGAUAUAAUGUAUGUAAUUGGUAACAAUCCUGUGAGGAAACUAAAUUUUCUUAGAAAUCUAAACGGUCUUUAGCAUUACCAAAAUUUUGUAGUGACUUGUGGUCACUUAUUUCGGAUGAUAAUAGAAAUCAUGAUUAUGCAUGCCUACAUUAUAUGAUAAGAAGCUUAGGGAGGACAAAAUAACAAUAUUGAAUAUUGAUUGAUAGAGAACUAUGUGAAACAUCUCAAAAGAUUGUAUGGUGUUGUAAUAUACCGAACUUCACAUUACACAUUUGGCAAAUAUGAUUCAUGCAUUUCAUGUUAUUUACAAUGUCAUUUGCAUCAAUUUUCCUAAUUGCUUUCUUUUAAAAUGGUGUAUUCGAAUAUUGAGGUCUUAAAAUCUUUAUAUGGUGUUAGUUUUUUUAUUCUUGACCUAGGUGGAGAAUUUUAUAGUAAGUUAUGAUAGAAAAUUAUGUUCAUCUAGAUGUUGAAGAUUGAUUUGUUAAGUAAUGAGAUCUUGAAAAGGCUGGAAUUAGUAUCAAUAAAAGUUCAAACUUUUCAUUCGGUUGAUCAAUGUCACCUUAAACCCUAGAUAGCUAAUUUACAUAUUUGGGACAUGAAGCAUGGAGUGACAUGAUCACGAUGCAAUAAUAUAUGUUUUAUACGACAUUAUAAAUAUUGAGGUGCGAAUUGCUGAAAUCGGUCGAGAAUCGAGUUUCAAUCGGGUAAGUAAUUAAAUGAACGGUUAAGGAAUUAGCUCUAUAAAAUAUUUUGGGAUCUUAGGGCAAGUAAAAUGAAUUUUAAAGACAUUAAAAUAAUCCAAUGAUACUUGAUUUAUACCUACAAGGAUGGAUGUAAAACCAGAUUUGUACCACAAAGGUGUCAUGCUUGGGAUGGUUGUCAUUUAACAUCCAAAUUCUUUAUCCCUAAGGCAUCCAGCACAUUUCCUACCUCUUAUUACUUCAUAUAGGAUAAAUAAAUAUCUUAUAAGCCAAUAUGGAUCUAAAUAGGAUAAGAUAAAAGUCAAAUAUUGCUAGAAAAAGCCACCACAUGCUUAACAUAAGUUAACUUGGCUGUAUAUAAUAUUUUCUUAGUCCUUAAGCAAGAGCCACGUCCUCAACCUUUUAAAGAUCUCUUCUUUACCUCCUAAAUAAGAUAUCAACUCCAACUCAUUCCUAAUUGAUUCUAAGCGAAAAAGAGAGCAAAAGAGCUAAAGGGAAAUAGAAAACAGGAAGUUGGAAUUGAAAGUGAUGUGCAGCUGGGUUAGUUCACUGUUUUAAGGUCUGUAUUCAUUAUUUUUGAGGGUUUUAUAAUCUCUUGAACCUCUGAUCUUGCUUGAGACCAUUUUGUAUGUUGUUGGUAAAAUUGUGAUGGUGGAAAAGGGAUAACUAAUUGCAAGAACAUGAAGGAAAUCAACAUGGAUAGAGAUUUGAUAGUUGUUGAAUUUUAAUAAUUUAACCUUUGAUUCUAAAUAAUCCCUUAGGUAUAACUUGUAUUUAUCAAUAUGAAAAUUUUAUUAUAAGAUUUCGAAAUAUAUAAAUGAUCUUUAAUAGAUUGUAAUCCAAUUUUUGAAGGUCUAAUCCAUGGGAAACUCAAAGUAGCCAUGAUGAAAUCCUGAUUUGGUGUUUGGUAAAAGGAACCAAUUUUCAGGUUGUAAAUCCUCGAUUUGUGGUAACUUAGUAACAUAUUUACCUGUACAUGUAUGUUAUAUAAGUGUGUUAAAAGUUUGGAAAGGAAUGUAAUUAAAAGCUUGAAUAGAUGGGUGAAACGAUACAUGGCGACAGCUAAAACUCAAAAACAAAUUCUGUCCAUUUUGAUAGUUUGCAUAGCUUCGACCUUUACAUGUGUGCACUAAUCAUUUCUUACACCUAGAAAAUAGAUUUUAAGGAGUGCUGAGUUGUUAAUGAUAAUUGGAUGACAUUGAAAAUUCAUAAUUAGACUGGAGAAAUAGUGAGAUUUGUGGGACUAGUUUACGAUGCAAUCGGUAGCUUGAAAAUGAUAAUGUCAUCUAAAUUAUUUUGACAUUUAUAGACAUAGUACGGGAUUGUGUGUGUGUGUGUGUGUGUGUGUGUUAAGGUUAUUAAUUGAGGGUUAUGUUUAAUAUUGAUUUGUAAUACAGGUGAUUUUCCGGCUUUAAGUGAAAUAUAAAAUUGAUUUAUACUCCAUAGAAGCGCACACAUAAGGGCGAAAGUUAAGUAAAAAUCCAUUCACAACUACAAUGCAAGAACAUAGUAUUUAUGUUAUAAUAUUUGCAUAACUUUGAUGAGGAGCUCAUUGUACAUCAUAUAAUGGUUAUGAUCAUUGAGUAUAUGGUUUCGAAACAUAUAGAAAUUGGUUUUGAUUAAGUAUGUCAUUCACAAGCAUUUUCAUGUGCAUGCACAACAUAUUUCCAUGGUUGAAAAUUUAGCAUGCACAACAUGAUUUUCAAAAUUGAGUUUUCCUCAUAAAUGUUUUUUUGACCACUACUAGAGCACACCGAGGUAUGUGAAGCAUGCUUAUGUGAUAUGUUUUAGCAUCAUGGGUGAUUCUUCCUAGGUGAUUACAAAUUAGAUAGGGGAUGGACCUUUGGUGACCACGAGAGGGUGGACUACUUGAAUAUACUCUUUUGAUAUUAUGAUUAUUGGCGCUACUAGAUGGGAUAUUUCUUGGGUGAUCAUAGGGACAGCUAGGAAUAGGCCUCCAGUGGUCACAAAAGGCUAGUCUACUCACUAGUGUUGAUGUAGUAUUGGCCAUUCGAUUAUUGAUUAUUGAUAUUGAAAUUGCUUAGAGCUCUAUCCGGUGCUUAGUAGGUGAGUCAAUGACCCAGUGAAAUGAAAGAUUUCAAAUAAAAUUAUUUCAAGUUGACUUUGAUGAACCAUUCACAUUCAUUGGGAUUGGAAAGAGGAUUCAGCUUUUCAUUAUAUCAGCAUUGAAAGAACAAAGGUCACCAGAUAGUGGGUGCGUAGGGUAUUUGGUUAGUGUUAUGGAUAGUGAAGUACAACACAAUCCGAAUAUUAAUGAUGUAUGGCACAGAAAUUUCUAGACAUAUUCCUUGAUGAUCUACCUGGGAUACCACCAAAUUGUGAGAUAGAAUUUGUGAUGGAUUUAAUUCUAGGAACACCUCUAAUUUCCAAAGCUCCAUAUAGAAUGGCCCCAACGAAUUAAAAGAGUUAAAUUGGCAAUUACAAGAGUUGCUGGAUAAAGGUUAUAUUAGACUUAGCUUUUCACCGUAGGUUGCACCAGUAUUAUACGUUCAUAAGAAAGAUGGUACAAUGAGAUUGUGUAUAGAUUAUUGAGAGUUAAAUUAGGUAAAAAUUAAAAAUAAAUACCCAUUACCGAAGAUCGAUGACUUGUUUGAUCAACUUCAAGGUGCAGUUACAUUCUCAAAGAUUGAUUUGCGAUUUGGAUACCAGUCAACUAAAAAAUGAAGGAAGAUGAUGUUUCUAAGAUAGCAUGUAGUAGAGAUAUGGUCAUUAUGAGUUUUUAGUGAUGUCAUUUGGAUUGACAAAUACCCCAGCAACUUUUAUAGAUUUGAUGAUUCGAUUUAAGGAUUUUCUGGAUAAGUUUUUCAAUGUAUUCAUUGAUGAUAUCCUUAUUUAUUCUCGUACUAGAGAAGAACAUCCUGAACUUUUUGAGAAUGGUACUUCAUGUCUUAAAGGACAAGUAGUUACAUGCCAAGUUUAAGAAAUGUGAAUUUUGGUUCGACGGAAUCAUAUUUUUGGGACAUGUGAUAUCAGGUGAGGGCAUAUCAAUGGAUCCAAGUAGAGACUAUUAAUAAUUGGUCACAACUUACAAAUGCUUAAAAGUUAGAAGUUUUAUGGGUUAACUGGAUAUUAUCGCAGAUUUGUGGAAGGAUUUUUAAAGAUAGCUUCUUCUUUAGUGAAAAUAACCAAAAAGAGUACGAAAUUUGAAUUGACAAAUGUUUGUAAGCAAAGUUUUCAUGAAUUGAAAAAAAAGACUAAAUUUAGCCCUUAUACUUUCAAUUCCAUCUAGUAAUGGAAAUUUUGUGGUUUAUAUUGACGCUUCUAAGAAUGGUCUGGGAUACGUAUUGAUGCAAAAUGGUAAAAUUAUUGCAUAUGCAUCUAAAGAAUUUAAAGAGUGAAAAGAAUUACCCUACAUGUGAUUUGGAAUUCGUCGCAGUUGUGUUUGCACUUAAAAUAUGGAGGCAUUAUUUGUAUGGAAAACUAUGCAAGAUUUAUACUGAUCACAAAAAUUUGAAAUAUUUGUUUAUACAAAAGGAAUUGAAUAUGAGACAAAGAAGGUGGCUGGAGUUGGUAAAAGAUUAUGAUUGUGUUAUCAAUUAUCAUCCUGGUAAGGCUAAUGUUGUAGCUGACACUUUGAGUAUAAAAUCCAUAUCUGGGGUUGCAACUAUGAUUAUGAUUCAAAAAUUAGAGUUGUUAGACGUACAGAAAAUAGAUAUUAAAAUUGUAUCACAAGGAUCAGUGGAGGCUAAACUUGCAGCAUUGACAAUUCAUCCAACUUUAUUUAAUAGAAUCUAGUAAGGGCAACAAGAAGAUGAUUAUUUUUCUAAGGUAAAGAAUGACUUUCAUAUCAAAAAAAUGGUAUCUUACGAUUUAGAGGGCAAUUAUAUGUACCUGGUGCUAAAAAUAUCCAAGGUGACAUUCUAUCUGAAGCACUCACAACAACUUUUUCUAUUCAUCGAGGAGCUACUAAAAUGUAUAGAGAUUGGAAAUUGCAUUAUUGGUGGCCGAACAUGAAAGGUGAGGUGGCUGAAUACGUAAGGCAUUGUUUGAUGUAUCAACAGAUAAAAACAGAACAUUAGAUGCCAGUAGGAACCUUACAACUAUUACCUAUCCUAAAGUGGAAAUGGAAAAGAAUCACAAUGGAUUUUGUGGUCAAAUUACCAAAAACAACUAAAGGAUACGAUAAUACUUAAUUAUUGUGGAUAGGUUGACCAAAUCAGCUCAUUUCAUUCUAGUUUCUUCCACUUAUUUCAUGGACCGAUAUACUUAGCUUUAUGUACAAGAAAUAGUUAGAUUUCAUAAAGUACCACUAUCUAUUGUUUCAGACAGAGAUUUUAAGUUUUCAUCUCUCUUUUGGAAAAGCUUGCAUAAAGUUUUGAGAAUGCAAUUAUCUUUUAGCAUGGUUUAUUAUCCUCAGACUGAAGGACAAUCAGAAAGAACAAUACAAAUAUUGAAAGAUAUGUUAAGAGCUUGUGUAUUAGAUUUCCAAGGCCAGUGGAGUAAAUUUUUACAUUCGAUAGAAUUUAAAUACAAUAACAGUUAUCAGGCUACGAUUGGAAUGGCUCCUUAUGUAACAUUAUAUGGUUAAAAAUGUAGGUCACUGAUUUAUUGGGAUGUGGUUGAAGAUAGGAAACUAUUAGGUCCAGAUAUAGUACGUAAAAUGGUUGAAGUUGUGUCACAAAUACAUCAACGGAUGUAAACUGCUCAAAAUUGACGAAAAAGCUAUGCAAACCAAAGAAGAGUAAUGUUAUAAUUUACUAAAGGAGAUCAAGUAUUUUUGAAGAUAGUGCCCAUGAAAGGAGUUAAGAGGUUUGGGAAGAAAGGAAAGCUAAGCCCGAGAUAUAUUGGAAAUGUUGCCUACAAACUUGAUCUUCCUUCAUCAAUGUCUCAAGUGCACAACCUGUUUCAUGUAUCCAUGCUAAGAAAACACAUUGGAAAUCCUUCUCAUCUAUUGAAGCAUAGACCAAUGGAGAUAAAACCAGUUUGACUUAUGAAAAAAAUCGGUAGAGAUUCUUCGACGAGAGGUAAAGCAACUUAUAAGCAAGAAAAUACCAUUGGUUAAGGUAUUGUUGCAAAAUUGGUCAGCAGAGAUUCUUCAACGAGGGGUAAAACAAAUUAUAAGUAAGAAAAUUUCAUUGGUUAAGGUAUUGUUGCAAAAUUGGUCAGCAAAAAAGGCCACUUAGGAAUGAGAAGAUGAAAUGCGGGUUAAACAUCCUGACAUUUUGGGUAAGCAGAUUUCGAGGACGAAAUUUUUAUAAGGAUGAGAGGAUGUAAUAAUCCGACGUUACAUUACACAUUUGGCCAAAAUGAUUGAUGCAUUUCAUGCUAUUUACAAUGUCAUUUGCAUCAAUUUUACUAAUUGUUUUUCUCUUAAAAUAGUGCAUUUGAUUAUUGUGGUUUUAAGAUCUUUAUAUGGUCUUAGUCUUUGACUCCUCGACCUAGGUGGAGAAUUUUGUAUUGAGCUAUAAUAGAAAAUUACAUUAAUCUAGUUGUUGGAGAUUGAUUUGUUAAGUAAUGAAAAUCUUGAAAAGGCCAAAAUUAGUAUCGAUAAAGGUUCAAACUUUCCAUUUAGUUCAUCAAGAUCACCUUAAGCCCUAUAUAGGUAAUUGACAUAUUUGAGAUAUGAGGCAUGGAGUAACACGAUCCCGAUGAUAUAAAUAUUAAGGUGAGAAUUGCUGAAAUUGAUAGAGAAUCGAGUUUAAAUCGGGUAAGUAACUAAAUGAACGGUUAAGGAAUUAAAUCUAUAAAAUAUUUUGGGAUAUUAGGACAAGUAAAAUGGAUUUUAAACACACUAAAAUAAGCUAAGGACACUUGAUUUGUACCUAUAAGGAUGGAUGUAAAACAAGAUUUGUACCAUAAAGGCUUGGGAUAGUUGUCAUUUUAACAUCCAAUUUCUUUAUCCUUAAGAUAUCCAGUACGUCUCCUACCUCUUGUACUUCAUAUAGGAUAGAUAUAUAUCUUAUAAGCCAAUAUGGAUCUAAAUAGGAUAAGAGAAAAGUUAAAUAUUGCUGGAAAAAGCCACUUCAUGCUUAACACAUGUUUAUUUGACUGUUUAUAACAUUUCUUAAUCCUUAAGCAAGAACCACGACCUCAAACUCUUAAGGACCUCUUCUUUACCUCCUAAAUAAGAUAUCAACUCCUUUAACUUUUUACCAAUUGAUUCAAAGUGAAAAAGAGAGCAAAAGAGCCAAAGGAAAAUAGAAAACAAAAAGCUGGAAUUGAAAGUGUUGGGCAGCUAGUUUAGUUUAUUGUUUUGAGUUUGUAUUCAUUAUUUUUAGCAUUUAUAAUCUCUUAAAUAUCUGAUCUUGCUGAAGACCAAGUUGUAUGUCGUUGGUAAAAUUGUGGUGGCAAAAAAGGGUAAUUGAUUGCAAGAACAUAGAGGAAAUCAAUAUGGAUAAAGACUUGAUAGUUGCUGAAUUUUAAUGAUUUAACCUUUUAUUUUAAAUAAUCCCUUUGCUAUAACUUCUAUUUAUCAAUAUGAAAGUUUUAAUAUUUGAUUUAAAAGUAUAUAAAUGAUCUUUAGUAGGUUAGAAUCCAAUUCUUGAAGGUCUAAUCCAAGUUAAACUCAAAGCAGCCAUGAUGAAAUCCUGAUUUGGUGUUUGGUAAAAAGAACUAAUUUUCAAGUUGUAAAUCCUCUACUUGUGACAACUUAAUAACAUAAUUACCUGCACAUGUAUGUUAUAUAAGUGUGUUAAAAGUUUGGGAAGGAAUGAAUAUAACGCCCUGAAAAUUUAUAGAAAAAUUUAUUUGUACUAUAUGCUAUAUUUUUAUAUUUUAAAAGUUGAGGGGCUAAAAUGCAAUAUAUUAAACUCAAUUUUAUUGAUAUUUAGUAUAUCAAUAUGGGGCUCGUUGGUAGCUUGUAAUUAAUCAUGUAUAUUAUGCUCCAGAAAAAGUUAAUUCGAAUAAACGAAGCCUAAGUUAUUGAAGGUUAAAGAAGUUGUCCAUAAAUAUUAUUUUAUUACUUUUGUUUGUUUUGUGGAAGUGGGAAGCCACGUGGGGUUGUUGAGAUUGAAUUAAAAUGGAUUCAUUUAUUUGAAUUGGAUAGAAAGUUUGGGUAAAUUGGACUUCGGCUUUACAUAGGACACUUGUCCUAUAUAUAUAUAUAUAUAUAUAUAUAUAUAUAUAUAUAUAGAUUUUCCACAAAGAAAAAGUCAGAUUUCCUUUCACCAUACUAUAUAAUUUUUAUAAACACAACAACGGGCUGAAAAUAAAGUUGAAACGUGAUUUUGGUUUUGUUUUUUCAAAAAUUUGUUUGAUCUAACGAGGUAAGAUAAUGAGGUGCAAUUGUUCUUAUCCCAUUUAAAUUAUUUUUUCAUGUUGUCAAAUUAUUGUACUUAUAAAAGUUAAAAAUAUGAUAUGAUGUGUAUGAUAUGACCAUCUGAUACCAAAGAUAUGACAUGUAUUGAGCUUUCACCAAUUUCUAAAGAUAUAAUGUCGGUAUGAUAUUUUUGACACAUGUUUUGAAUAUUUUUAUUCGGGAUUGCAUUAUUAUUUUAGUGUUCUACUAAGUAUUAUCAUAUACUCAUCCUUUUCCCCCCACUCUUUACAGGUUAUAAUGAGUCAUUGAUUUGCGUGUGAUGAGGUGCAGUCAUGGUGCCAAAAUUUAUGGAUCUCAAUAAAAAUAAUCCAGAGUAACGUGACUAUGGAUUUUAUUUUCAACAUUAUUUUGGUUUUAUUAUCAUGUGAAUUUUGUUAUUUAAGAUUUGGAACAUAUUUUAUUUGGUUAUGCUUUCUAUAUGUUUUAUUUAUUAUUAGUGGAACCAAAAAAUUCAUGUUGUGAUGUUCAAUAUGUUUAUUUAAAUUAUUAAAUGAAACUUUUAGGAAUGAUUUAAAUCUUAAAAUUUGGAUUGUUAUCAUAAAAAUGAUUAAGGGUGUGAAAAGAUGGGUGAAACUGGACAUGGCAGCAACUAAAACUCAAAAGCAGAUUCUGUCUUUUUUGGUAGUUUUUAUAGUUUCGACUUUUACAUGUGCACUAAUCAUCUUUUAGGCCUGGAAAAUAUAUUUUAAUGAGUGCUAGGUUGUUAAUAACAAUUGGAUGACAUUGAGAAUUCAUAAUUGGACUCGAGAAAUAGUGAGAUUUAUGGGACUAGUUUGCAAUGCAAUCAGUAACUUGAAAUGAUAAUGUAGUCUAAAUUAUUUUGGCAUGAAUGAACUUACCACGAGAUUGUGUGUGUGUGUUAAGGUUAUUAAAUUGAGGAUUGUGUUUAAUAUUAAAUGGUAAUACAAGUGGUUUUUCGACUUUAAGUGAAAAAGAAAAUUGAUCUACACUCCGUAGAAGUGCACACACAAGGGCGAAAGGUAAGUAAAAAUUGAUUCGCAACUACGAUGCAAGAACAUAGUAUUUAUGUUAUAAUAUUUGCAUAACUUUGAUGAGGAGCUCACUGUACAUCAUAUGAUAGUUAUGAUCAUUGAGUAUGUGAUUUCCGAACAUUUGAAUAUGAUGCAUCUUUAGCGAGAUGUUUAAAGUAAAUAGCAUGGUGUCAUAGACUAUUGCUAAUUGCUAAUCAUACUCAUGACAUACAUGUUUUUUGCUUACUGAAUAUUAGAUUAUGUAAUUCUCGCAUUGUAGGUGAACAUGGAACUUCAUAGAGUUCAUGGCUAGUUGUGAAGCUCUUACAGGAUUUCAAAGUUUGAUGUCCAUGGAUAACGACCUAUUGGGUUAUUUUGUAGACUUCGACUGUAUUAUAUUUUGGGGAUCUUUUAUUGUAUAUGUAUACCUUUUGAAAUGUUCUAUAG